UCCUGCUUAGCUCAUAGGUUAUAGCAUCACACUUGUAAUGCGAUGGUCAUCGGUUCGAUCCCGAUAGCUGGCU
Molecule: non-coding RNA, 73 nt
Organism: Picea glauca (white spruce)
Lineage: Eukaryota; Viridiplantae; Streptophyta; Pinopsida; Pinales; Pinaceae
Source: Rfam